This 660-nucleotide ribosomal RNA is filed under the name Bacteroides xylanisolvens. RNAcentral's name for it is "bacterial SSU rRNA". It matches the Rfam family "Bacterial small subunit ribosomal RNA", at positions 149 to 826 of the family's 1533-position model. Lineage: Bacteria; Pseudomonadati; Bacteroidota; Bacteroidia; Bacteroidales; Bacteroidaceae. The record is from RNAcentral.
GUUAGAAAUGACUGCUAAUACCGCAUAAGCGCACAGGGCCGCAUGGACCUGGUGUGAAAAACUCCGGUGGUGUAAGAUGGACCCGCGUCUGAUUAGGUAGUUGGUGGGGUAACGGCCCACCAAGCCGACGAUCAGUAGCCGACCUGAGAGGGUGACCGGCCACAUUGGGACUGAGACACGGCCCAAACUCCUACGGGAGGCAGCAGUGGGGAAUAUUGGACAAUGGGCGAAAGCCUGAUCCAGCGACGCCGCGUGAGUGAAGAAGUAUUUCGGUAUGUAAAGCUCUAUCAGCAGGGAAGAAAAUGACGGUACCUGACUAAGAAGCCCCGGCUAACUACGUGCCAGCAGCCGCGGUAAUACGUAGGGGGCAAGCGUUAUCCGGAUUUACUGGGUGUAAAGGGAGCGUAGACGGUUAAGCAAGUCUGAAGUGAAAGCCCGGGGCUCAACCCCGGUACUGCUUUGGAAACUGUUUGACUUGAGUGCAGGAGAGGUAAGUGGAAUUCCUAGUGUAGCGGUGAAAUGCGUAGAUAUUAGGAGGAACACCAGUGGCGAAGGCGGCUUACUGGACUGUAACUGACGUUGAGGCUCGAAAGCGUGGGGAGCAAACAGGAUUAGAUACCCUGGUAGUCCACGCUGUAAACGAUGAAUACUAGGUGUCGG